GACCCUGUUGAGCUUGACUCUAGUCUCAAUUUGUGAAAUGACAUGGAAGGUGUAGAAUAAGUGGGAGUAGUUAAGUGCGUCAGUGAAAUACCACUACUUUCAUCGUCGUUUUACUUACCCGGUUAGGUUUGGGUUGUGUUUUUGACACAAUUCUAGUAUAAAGACAGCUUCGCUGUUGACACACGUUGGGGACAGAAUGAGGUGGGGAGUUUGGCUGGGGCGG
Molecule: ribosomal RNA, 223 nt
Filed under: Tiarina fusus
Lineage: Eukaryota; Ciliophora; Prostomatea; Prorodontida; Colepidae
Description: Tiarina fusa partial Eukaryotic large subunit ribosomal RNA
Rfam family: Eukaryotic large subunit ribosomal RNA
Source: RNAcentral